CAAAGUGUAGCUUAAAUAAAGCAUCUCGCUUACACCGAGAAAAUAUCUGUGAAAAUCAAAUCACUCUGA
This 69-nucleotide transfer RNA is filed under the name Plectrohyla matudai (Matuda's spikethumb frog). Its description in RNAcentral is "tRNA-Val". It matches the Rfam family "tRNA". Rfam says of the family: Transfer RNA (tRNA) molecules are approximately 80 nucleotides in length. Their secondary structure includes four short double-helical elements and three loops (D, anti-codon, and T loops). The record is from RNAcentral. Lineage: Eukaryota; Metazoa; Chordata; Amphibia; Anura; Hylidae.